UACGUAGGGUGCGAGCGUUGUCCGGAAUUAUUGGGCGUAAAGGGCUCGUAGGCGGUUUGUCGCGUCGGGAGUGAAAACCAGGUGCUUAACACCUGGCUUGCUUUCGAUACGGGCAGACUAGAGGUAUGCAGGGGAGAACGGAAUUCCUGGUGUAGCGGUGAAAUGCGCAGAUAUCAGGAGGAACACCGGUGGCGAAGGCGGAUCUCUGGGCCGAUACUGACGCUGAGGAGCGAAAGCGUGGGGAGCGAACAGG
This 253-nucleotide ribosomal RNA is filed under the name uncultured bacterium. RNAcentral describes it as "partial 16S ribosomal RNA". It matches the Rfam family "Bacterial small subunit ribosomal RNA", at positions 524 to 776 of the family's 1533-position model. The record is from RNAcentral.